AUUGAACGCUGGCGGCAUGCCUUACACAUGCAAGUCGAACGGUAACAGGUGUUCGUUUGCUGUCGAGCGGUGCAGGGGUGAGUAUUACAACGGAACGUGCCCAGACGUUGGGGGAAACGAGGCGAAAGCUGUGCUAAUACCGCAUACGAUCUAAGAUAGAAAGCCGGAGACCGCAAGGCUUUGUGCGGUUGUUGCGGUCGCUGGCAGAUUAGCUAGUUGGUGGGAUAAAGGCUUACCAAGCCGACGAUUCGUAGCUGGUCUGAGAGGACGACCCGCCACACUGGGACUGAGACACGGCCCAGACUCCUACGGGAGGCAGCAGUGGGGAAUUUUGGACAAUGGGCGAAAGCCUGAUCCAGCAAUGCCGCGUGCAGGAUGAAGGCCUUCGGGUUGUAAAAUGCUUUUGUUCGGAACGAAAAGGCUCUGGCUAAUACCUGGGGCACAUGACGGUACCGUAAGAGUAAGCACCGGCUAACUACGUG
Molecule: ribosomal RNA, 482 nt
Filed under: uncultured bacterium
Lineage: Bacteria
Description: partial 16S ribosomal RNA
Rfam family: Bacterial small subunit ribosomal RNA
Source: RNAcentral